AGUGAACGCUGGCGGUAGGCCUAACACAUGCAAGUCGAACGGCAGCACAGUAAGAGCUUGCUCUUACGGGUGGCGAGUGGCGGACGGGCGAGGAAUACAUCGGAAUCUACUUUUUCGUGGGGGAUAACGUAGGGAAACUUACGCUAAUACCGCAUACGACCUACGGGUGAAAGCAGGGGACCUUCGGACCUUGCGCGAUUGAAUGAGCCGAUGUCGGAUUAGCUAGUUGGCGGGGUAAAGGCCCACCAAGGCGACGAUCCGUAGCUGGUCUGAGAGGAUGAUCAGCCACACUGGAACUGAGACACGGUCCAGACUCCUACGGGAGGCAGCAGUGGGGAAUAUUGGACAAUGGGCGCAAGCCUGAUCCAGCCAUACCGCGUGGGUGAAGAAGGCCUUCGGGUUGUAAAGCCCUUUUGUUGGGAAAGAAAAGCAGCAGGUUAAUACCCCGCUGUUCUGACGGUACCCAAAGAAUAAGCACCGGCUAACUUCGUG
RNAcentral lists this ribosomal RNA (492 nucleotides) under uncultured bacterium. RNAcentral describes it as "partial 16S ribosomal RNA". It matches the Rfam family "Bacterial small subunit ribosomal RNA", at positions 29 to 507 of the family's 1533-position model. The record is from RNAcentral.